RNAcentral lists this long non-coding RNA (3689 nucleotides) under Gallus gallus (chicken). RNAcentral describes it as "lncRNA (ENSGALG00010000747.1)". The record is from RNAcentral. Lineage: Eukaryota; Metazoa; Chordata; Aves; Galliformes; Phasianidae.
CUCCGAGCCGGCUGCCAACGGCUGCCCCCGCGCGCUGCGCCUCAGCCAAUGGAAGGCCGGCGGCGCUGCCGCUGACCGGUUGAGAGGCCGGGGGCGGGACUGGGCUGCGCGUCAGCCAAUGAGAGGCCGGGGAGGGGAAGGAGCUGCACCUGACCAAUGAGAGGCUGAAGGCAGGAUGGAACUGCGGCUCAUCCAAUGAGAGUCCGGGGCCGGGACGGAGCUGAGUCUGACCAAUGAGAGGAUGGGGGCGGGACGGAGCUGCAGCUCAGCCAAUGAGAGGCCGGCGGCGUGAUAGAGCUGCAUCUGACCAAUGAGAGGCUGGGGGCGGGACAGAGCGGCACCUGACCAAUGAGAGGCAGGAGGCGGGAUAGAGCGGCGGGAGGGGCUCGGAGUGCGCCCUAUUGCAAUAGGGGUUGGGAUUGGGAUUAGGGGUGUGGGAUUGGGAUUGGGGGUGUGGGAUUGGGGUUAGGACUGGGAUAUGAGAUUUGGGAUUGCGAUGGAUUGACGGAUGGUACAUGGGGCUGGGAUGUGGGAUUGGCAUUGGGAUUCGGGAUAGGGAUUGGGAAUACGGGAUAUGGGAUUGGCAUGUGGGAUUGGGAAUGAGGCGUGGAUUGGGAUUGGGAUUGGGGUUGGGAUGCAGGAAGUGGGUAUACAGGUACGGGACAGACUUGGCAAAGAUAUGGGAAUGAUAUGGGGUGGAGUUGGGACAGGAUAUGGAUAUGGGAUGGGAUUGGGAUGAUCAUAGGGAUGGGAUAGGUAUAUGGAAUGGAUAUGGGGUGGACACGGGAUGGAUGUGGGGAUAUGGAUUCAGGAAGGCUGUGGGAUGGAAAUGGAUAUGGGACAUGGGGUACAGGAUGGGGAUAGGAUAUGGGAUGUAGGGGUAUGGAUGUGGGAUGGCUUUAGGAUGGGAUAUGGGAUUGGAUAAGGGAUGGGACAUUGAUAUGGGAUGGAUAAGGAGAUGGGAUCGGUUUGGGAUGAGAUAUGGAUUUGAGAUGGAUUUGGGAUGGUUAUGGGAUAGAUAAGGUGAUAUGGAUAUAGAAAGAGAUUUGGCAUGAAGUUGGGAUGGGAUAUGGAUAGGGGAUGGAUUUGGAAUAUGGAUAUAGGAUGGAUUUGGGAUAUGGAUACGGGAUGGAUUUGGGAUAUGGAUAUGGGAUGGAUUUGGGAUAUGGGCGUGGGACAGAUAUCAUGUUUUGGAUAUUGGAAGGGUUAUGGAUACAGGAUGGGAUAUGGGAUGGGAUAUGGAUAUGGGAUGGCUACGAGAUGGGGCUGUAGUGGUUAUAGGGCCAUGGGGGCUAUGGGGCUGGGAUGCUGCAGUGUCCCCAAAGCACUCCCCGGUGUGACACACGGAGCCCCACAGCCGCUCCUCUGCCCUCUAUUCACGUGGGGGGGGGCAUCCCCAACCCCCCGUUAUCACAAAAUAAACCUUAAUCCCAAAAAUAAAGGGUGCCCCCCGCCCCACCCCAUGGGAACAGUGCAGUCUGCAAUGGGGGGCGCACAGAAUGGGUCCCCAGAGGGGGGUCCCCAACUUUGGGAUGUGACGCCAUGGUGGGGAACGUGGGGGCACUCCCACCUCUGGGACAGACCCCAACUUUGGGGUGUAACAUGUGGGGGUGUCCCCAACUUUGGGGUGUGACACUGUGGUGUGUCCCCAACUUUGGGGUGUGACACCAUCGGGGGGACACAGAGAUGCCCCAACUUUGAGGUGUGACACAGUGACGCGGUGUCCCCACUUCCCCUGGGAAGUCCUCAAGCUGCUCACAGUGUCCCCAACUUUGGCGCAAUGCCCCCAGGGGGGUCCUUUUGUCCCCUCAUAGGACAGUGGGAGGCUCAGUGACAGCACCCCCUGGACACCCCAAGACACUUCUGGGACAUCUUCAGACCCUUCCAGAAGACAACAGGACCCUCUGAACCCACCAAAGGACCCCCCAGACCCUCCAAGUCCUCUCUGGGCCAUCCCCAGACCCUUCUGGAUGGCUCCAGGACCCCCCAGACCCACACGAGCACCCCCUGGACACCCCAAGACACUCCUGGGACAUCUUCAGACCCUUCCAGAAGACAGCAGAACCCACCUAAGGACCCCCCGGACCCUCCAAGUCCUCUCUGGGACAUCUCCAGACCCUUCUGGAUGGCUCCAGGACCCCCCAGACCCACAUGAACACUCCCUGGACACUCCAAGACAGUCCUGGGACAUCCCCAGACCCUUCUGGAUGACUGCAAGGAUGCCCUGGACACACCUGGGGACCCCCUGCACCCUACAGGGACCUUCUUGGACAUCUCCAGACCCUUCUGGAUGAAUCCAUGGACCCCAUGGAUCAACAGGAGGACCCCCUGUACCCUCCAAGGCCUCUCUGGGACACCCCCAAACUUUCUGGAUGGCUCCAGGACACCCCAGAACCACAUGAGCACCCCUUGGACACCCCAAGACACUUAUGGGGCAUCUUUAGACCCUUCCAGAAGACAACAGGACCCUCUGAACCCACCAAAGGACCCCCCAGACCCUCCAAGUCCCCCCUGGGACAUCCCCAGACCUUCUGGAUGGCUCCAGGACCCCCCAGACCCACAUGAGCACCCUUUGGACACCCAGGACACUUCUGGGACAUCUUCAGACCCUUCCAGAAGACAACAGGACCCUCUGAACCCACCAAAGGACCCCCCAGACCCUCCAAGUCCCCUCUGGGACAUCCCCAGACCCUUCUGGAUGACCACUCAGACCCACACGAGGGCUCCCUGGACCCUCGCAGACUCUACUGGGACAUCUCCAGAUCAGCCCAGAGACUCCUCAGAGCUCCUGGGCCCAUCGUGGGAGCUGCCAGACCCUUCCAGGGGCCCACAGGACCAACCUGGGGACUCCCUGGAUCCUCCUUGGACAUCUCCAGACUCUUCUGGAUGAGUCCAGAACCCCCUGGAUGCCCCCAGACCUCUCUAGGACGUCUCCAGAUCCUUCUUCAUGAUUCUAAGUGGGGAAAAGGGGGGUUUUGGGGGGGGGUGAGAAAGGGGUUAGUGGGGCUUCUGUGGGGUGGAAAGGGAGUCAGGGGGUGGAGAGGGGGUUGUGUGGAAUCUGGGGGGGGGGGAAGGUGUGAGUGGGGCUUCUGUGGGGUGUAAAGGGCAUCAAGGGGCAGAAAGUGGAGGUUGGGGGGCCUUGGGGGGGAAGAGGAGAACGAGACUUCCGUGGGGGAAAAAGGGGGUCUCGGGGGUGGAGAGAGAGGUUGGAAGGGAAAACUGGGGGUCGUGGGGGGGCUUCUAUGGGACAUAAAGGGGGUCCCGUUGGGGGAUACUGGGGGUCAAAAUGGGGGAGCGGACUCCAGAAGUCAGGGAGGAGGGCAUGGGGGGUACAGGGGACUCUAGGGGUCAGCAAAUGGGGUCAGCAGGGGGGAGGGAGAAGGAAGAGGGAAGACGGGGGACCCUGGGGGGCAGACAGAGGGGAGUCAGAGGGGGGAGACGGAUGGAGGGGCCAACGUGGGGAGAGCUGUGGGGGGGGGCGGGAAAGGAGACAGAAGGGAUGAGAGCGGGGGAGCGAGGAGGGAUCGGGAGGGAGGGGGACAGACAGAGGACCCUGGGGGUCAGAAUGGGGACCGGGGGCGGGAGGAAGCGAGGGGAGGGGUGGGAGAGGACUCCCCGCCCCGGCGCCCCCCCCGGACACCCACUCGCAGAAGCUGAGGCGGCGCUCGGAGCCCCGGGGCCGCCCCGCC